Molecule: ribosomal RNA, 249 nt
Filed under: uncultured Lactobacillus sp.
Lineage: Bacteria; Bacillati; Bacillota; Bacilli; Lactobacillales; Lactobacillaceae
Description: partial 16S ribosomal RNA
Rfam family: Bacterial small subunit ribosomal RNA
Source: RNAcentral
CACGUGGGGAACCUGCCCCAUAGUCUGGGAUACCACUUGGAAACAGGUGCUAAUACCGGAUAAGAAAGCAGAUCGCAUGAUCAGCUUUUAAAAGGCGGCGUAAGCUGUCGCUAUGGGGUGGCCCCGCGGUGCAUUAGCUAGUUGGUAAGGUAAAGGCUUACCAAGGCGAUGAUGCAUAGCCGAGUUGAGAGACUGAUCGGCCACAUUGGGACUGAGACACGGCCCAAACUCCUACGGGAGGCAGCAGAC